Molecule: ribosomal RNA, 760 nt
Filed under: Trisetella triglochin
Lineage: Eukaryota; Viridiplantae; Streptophyta; Magnoliopsida; Asparagales; Orchidaceae
Description: eukaryotic LSU rRNA
Rfam family: 5.8S ribosomal RNA (bases 306-461)
Source: RNAcentral
GCGAGAAGUCCAUUGAACCUUAUCAUUUAGAGGAAGGAGAAGUCGUAACAAGGUUUCCGUAGGUGAACCUGCGGAAGGAUCAUUGUCGAGACCGAAACAUAUCGAGCGAUUUGGAGAACAUGUGAAUAAGCGAUGGCACUAGCCAUUGCAUGACGGGCGUCCUGGUCGUCGGCCUCAUUGAGGUCGCGAAGAGGGGCGACUGAAACACAAAACGGCGCAGCUACGCGCCAAGGGAUACAUUGAAACACGAGCCCGCAUCGGGUUCGAUGGCGUGGCGUGCUAUUGCGCGCCACACAGAUCAAAAUGACUCUCGGCAAUGGAUAUCUCGGCUCUCGCAUCGAUGAAGAGCGCAGCGAAAUGCGAUACGUGGUGCGAAUUGCAGAAUCCCGCGAACCAUCGAGAAUUUGAACGCAAGUUGCGCCCGAGGCCAGCCGGCCAAGGGCACGUCCGCCUGGGCGUCAAGCGUUGCGUCGCUCCGUGCCAGCUCCAUCCCACCCAACGGUGUGCAUGGGGGAUGGUCGGAUGUGCAGAGUGGCCCGCCGUGCCCGUGGGCGCGACGGGUUUAAGAGUGGGUGAUCGUCUCGUUGGCCACGACCAGCAAGAGGUGGAUGAAAAAUGUGCCUGUGCUGUAUCGUGCCGACCAGAGUAGAGAUUAUACCAUCGGAUGAUCCCAACCCAAGCGUCAAUCUACGGAUGAAAGCUUGGAAUGCGACCCCAGGAUGGGCGAGGCCACCCGCUGAGUUUAAGCAUAUCAAUAAGC